UGCCUACGGGGCGCAGCAGUAGGGAAUCUUCCGCAAUGGGCGAAAGCCUGAUGGAGCAACGCCGCGUGGGUGAAGAAGGUCUUCGGAUCGUAAAACCCUGUUGUUAGAGAAGAAAGUGCGUGAGAGUAACUGUUCACGUUUCGACGGUAUCUAACCAGAAAGCCACGGCUAACUACGUGCCAGCAGCCGCGGUAAUACGUAGGUGGCAAGCGUUAUCCGGAUUUAUUGGGCGUAAAGGGAACGCAGGCGGCCUUUUAAGCCUGCUGUGAAAGCCUCCGGCUUAACCGGAGCAGUGC
This 296-nucleotide ribosomal RNA is filed under the name uncultured bacterium. RNAcentral's name for it is "partial 16S ribosomal RNA". It matches the Rfam family "Bacterial small subunit ribosomal RNA", at positions 335 to 624 of the family's 1533-position model. The record is from RNAcentral.